UAAAGAAAUGCAGCACAGACCCCAUUGUCUAGGAUGCCUUCUCUUGUUGCUUGUUUGGCUUUGCCAUCAAUGUCACUAUGAAGACAAAUUGCAGAUGAGUGCAACACAAGUAUCUCAUGACUUGACAUUACACCAGGAGAUUCACAGAAAUAGUGAGUGCAAUAAAAUAUAGGUCAUGUGCUCAACAGCUGGAUGUACAUGCAAGUACACACAAAGAUUUUGUCCAGGGUUGCAAAAAAGAAUCAAACACAUAUUUGGAAAAGAAAUGAUCUGCCAUAAACUCCAUACACCUCACCCCAAAAAGAGAAUCCUCACAAUCUCAACUCCAGACCAUGAAGGAAGAGGAUGUUCAUUGAAACCCCUUUGGAAAAGCAGCUUCAUUUCUACUUCUUCAGAGGAUAAUGGAAGGAACAGACUGUCCCUGCCUCAUGGAGAAGGUUCCCAGGUUGUGCUUCUUCAUGCACUG
RNAcentral lists this long non-coding RNA (466 nucleotides) under Manacus vitellinus (golden-collared manakin). RNAcentral's name for it is "lncRNA (ENSMVIG00005000157.1)". Lineage: Eukaryota; Metazoa; Chordata; Aves; Passeriformes; Pipridae. The record is from RNAcentral.